UAAAAAAAGGUAAGCUACUAAGAGCGAAUGGUGGAUGCCUUGACUGGUAAAGGCGAUGAAGGACGUACUAGACUGCGAUAAGCUACGGGGAGCUGUCAAGAAGCUUUGAUCCGUAGAUUUCCGAAUGGGGCAACCCAAUGUAUAGAGAUAUACAUUACCUAUAUAGGAGCGAACGAGGGGAAUUGAAACAUCUUAGUACCCUCAGGAAAAGAAAUCAAUAGAGAUUGCGUCAGUAGCGGCGAGCGAAAGCGCAAGAGGGCAAACCCAGUGCUUGCACUGGGGGUUGUAGGACUGCAAUGUGCAAGAGGUAAGUUUAGCAGAACAUUCUGGAAAGUAUAACCAUAGAGGGUGAUAGUCCCGUAUGCGAAAAACAAACCUUAGCUAGCAGUAUCCUGAGUAGGGCGGGACACGAGGAAUCCUGUCUGAAUCCGGGUCGACCACGAUCCAACCCUAAAUACUAAUACCAGAUCGAUAGUGCACAAGUACCGUGAGGGAAAGGUGAAAAGAACUGAGGUGAUCAGAGUGAAAUAGAACCUGAAACCAUUUGCUUACAAUCAUUCAGAGCCUUAUGUAGCAAUACAGGGUGAUGGACUGCCUUUUGCAUAAUGAGCCUGCGAGUUGUGGUGUCUGGCAAGGUUAAGCAAACGCGAAGCCGUAGCGAAAGCGAGUUUGAAUAGGGCGCUUAGUCAGAUGCUGCAGACCCGAAACGAAGUGAUCUAUCCAUGAGCAAGUUGAAGCUAGUGUAAGAACUAGUGGAGGACUGAACCCAUAGGCGUUGAAAAGCCCCGGGAUGACUUGUGGAUAGGGGUGAAAGGCCAAUCAAACUUCGUGAUAGCUGGUUCUCUCCGAAAUAUAUUUAGGUAUAGCGUUGUGUCGUAAUAUAAGGGGGUAGAGCACUGAAUGGGCUAGGGCAUACACCAAUGUACCAAACCCUAUCAAACUCCGAAUACCUUAUAUGUAAUCACAGCAGUCAGGCGGCGAGUGAUAAAAUCCGUCGUCAAGAGGGAAACAACCCAGACUACCAGCUAAGGUCCCUAAAUCUUACUUAAGUGGAAAACGAUGUGAAGUUACUUAAACAACCAGGAGGUUGGCUUAGAAGCAGCCAUCCUUUAAAGAAAGCGUAAUAGCUCACUGGUCUAGUGAUUUUGCGCGGAAAAUAUAACGGGGCUAAAGU
Molecule: ribosomal RNA, 1174 nt
Filed under: Campylobacter jejuni
Lineage: Bacteria; Pseudomonadati; Campylobacterota; Epsilonproteobacteria; Campylobacterales; Campylobacteraceae
Description: partial 23S ribosomal RNA
Rfam family: Bacterial large subunit ribosomal RNA
Source: RNAcentral